GCAUGAAGUCGGAAUUGCUAGUAAUCGCGGAUCAGCAUGCCGCGGUGAAUACGUUCCCGGGCCUUGUACACACCGCCCGUCAAACCAUGAGAGCUGGAAACACCCGAAGCUGGUAGCCUAACCGUAAGGAGGGCGCCAUUGAAGGUGGGGCUAGUGAUUAGGGUUAAGUCGUAACAAGGUAGC
RNAcentral lists this ribosomal RNA (183 nucleotides) under uncultured bacterium. Its description in RNAcentral is "partial 16S ribosomal RNA". It matches the Rfam family "Bacterial small subunit ribosomal RNA", at positions 1318 to 1500 of the family's 1533-position model. The record is from RNAcentral.